UUAAUUAAAUUAAGUGGCACCAAACGCUCGCCGCAGUUGAAUCUAUCGAGCACAGCGAUCUCCUCGGGAGUCAGCUCAAAAUCGAAGAUGUCGAAGUUCUCAGUUACGCGGUUAAUAUUGGACGACUUUGGGAUAGGUAGCUGAAAUGUGUUAUGUGCGGCGCAUCUGGUAUGCAAUAGUGGGCUUCUUUAGAAGAGGACGCGUACGUUUCAGCGUAAAUACAGUGGAGCGAGCAGAGUCGCGCGAAGAGACCCAUCGGGACAACAUUCGAGCAUAUGCAGAGGAGCAAAAGCGUUUGGCCAGAGAAAGGUACAAGCAACUUUGAACAGAUCGGCCAUUUAUUAAAAAAUGAAGAUUCGCAGGCCUCGAUUGAGUUUCCCCAGUUGCUGGAGUUCCAGCGGCGUGAGGCAGAAAUCAAAGAUAUCCAGGUUCUCGGAAAUGUGAAACUCCUGAGCCGCCUUUGGUAUGGGUAUCGUGCCAAUAUCCAGCUGGGUACAAUUAUACUAUUUAGCGAUUAAUGAUCUUUUUGUAAGUUAUCUGCUAAUUAUACCAAAUAUCUGAGUGCCAA
Molecule: long non-coding RNA, 568 nt
Organism: Drosophila pseudoobscura
Lineage: Eukaryota; Metazoa; Arthropoda; Insecta; Diptera; Drosophilidae
Exons: 3
Source: RefSeq, a predicted model, not a curated record